Molecule: ribosomal RNA, 253 nt
Filed under: uncultured bacterium
Lineage: Bacteria
Description: partial 16S ribosomal RNA
Rfam family: Bacterial small subunit ribosomal RNA
Source: RNAcentral
GACGUAGGGCGCGAGCGUUGUCCGGAUUUAUUGGGCGUAAAGAGCUCGUAGGCGGCUUGUCGCGUCGAAUGUGAAAACUCGGGGCUCAACCCCGCGCUUGCAUUCGAUACGGGCAGGCUCGAGUUCGGUAGGGGAGACUGGAAUUCCUGGUGUAGCGGUGAAAUGCGCAGAUAUCAGGAGGAACACCGGUGGCGAAGGCGGGUCUCUGGGCCGAUACUGACGCUGAGGAGCGAAAGCGUGGGGAGCAAACAGG